AUGGCGGCAGCAGCAGGAGCAGCUCGUCUCUCCUCUUCGUCUCAUCUCAUGGAUGAGGGCGUCGGCUCCAGAAGCUCUAGGAGUGGAAGACGUCUUCCUCCAGAAUUUGGUCGAGUUUUGGAAUUUGUCAAUGAAAUUCUACAAUCAGAUUUGGCAGUGCUAAUGAUACUGAAGUUCAUGCUACUUUGUGGGUAUAAGAAUAUGGCUGUGAACAAUAUCUAUGCAUUUCAAAGUAAGGAGAAGCUCGAGCCGCAGCAGGUCCAUGGCGCCAUCGCCGUCACAGCAGGAGGAGCGUGGGCCGCAGAGACGUCCGGAUCUGUCCAGCCCUCACGCCGCCGUCCGACCACCCUAGAGAGUUCAGAGCAAAGCAGGCCAACAUCUUUGCUGCACUGGACCGGCUCUACAUCCGUGGUGGCGGUCACGGCCUCCGCUGCCGGGUGCACGAUGAGGCGCUCGAGGGAGUAUAUGUUGUUAUAA
Molecule: ribosomal RNA, 477 nt
Filed under: Triticum aestivum (bread wheat)
Lineage: Eukaryota; Viridiplantae; Streptophyta; Magnoliopsida; Poales; Poaceae
Description: partial small subunit ribosomal RNA
Source: RNAcentral